GACGAACGCUGGCGGCGUGCUUAACACAUGCAAGUCGAACGGAAAGGCCCUGCUUGUGUGGGGUGCUCGAGUGGCGAACGGGUGAGUAACACGUGAGUAACCUGCCCUUGACUUUGGGAUAACUUCAGGAAACUGGGGCUAAUACCGGAUAGGAGCGCCUGCUGCAUGGUGGGGGUUGGAAAGUUUCGGCGGUUGGGGAUGGACUCGCGGCUUAUCAGCUGGUGGGGGGGGUAGUGGCUUACCAAGGCUUUGACGGGUAGCCGGCCUGAGAGGGUGACCGGCCACAUUGGGACUGAGAUACGGCCAAGACUCCUACGGGAGGCAGCAGUGGGGAAUAUUGCACAAUGGGCGGAAGCUUGAUGCAGAAACGCGGCUUGCGGGAUGACGGCCUCCGGGUGUUAAACCGCUUUCGCCUGUGACGAAGCGUGAGUGACGGUAACGGGUAAAGAAGCACCGGCUAACUACGUG
Molecule: ribosomal RNA, 468 nt
Filed under: uncultured bacterium
Lineage: Bacteria
Description: partial 16S ribosomal RNA
Rfam family: Bacterial small subunit ribosomal RNA
Source: RNAcentral